Molecule: ribosomal RNA, 532 nt
Filed under: uncultured fungus
Lineage: Eukaryota; Fungi
Description: SSU rRNA
Rfam family: Eukaryotic small subunit ribosomal RNA
Source: RNAcentral
GUUAUCGUUUAUUUGAUAGUACCUUACUACUUGGAUAACCGUGGUAAUUCUAGAGCUAAUACAUGCUAAAAAUCCCGACUUCGGAAGGGAUGUAUUUAUUAGAUUAAAAACCAAUGCCCUUCGGGGCUCACUGGUGAUUCAUGAUAACUCCUCGAAUCGCAUGGCCUUGUGCCGGCGAUGGUUCAUUCAAAUUUCUUCCCUAUCAACUUUCGAUGUUUGGGUAUUGGCCAAACAUGGUUGCAACGGGUAACGGAGGGUUAGGGCUCGACCCCGGAGAAGGAGCCUGAGAAACGGCUACUACAUCCAAGGAAGGCAGCAGGCGCGCAAAUUACCCAAUCCCGACACGGGGAGGUAGUGACAAUAAAUACUGAUACAGGGCUCUUUUGGGUCUUGUAAUUGGAAUGAGUACAAUUUAAAUCCCUUAACGAGGAACAAUUGGAGGGCAAGUCUGGUGCCAGCAGCCGCGGUAAUUCCAGCUCCAAUAGCGUAUAUUAAAGUUGUUGUGGUUAAAAAGCUCGUAGUUGAACCUUGG